UGUGAUGAUCUCAUAUUGACAUGCUAAUUGAAACUUUAAUUAUAUAUUUAUUAAUAAUUAUUAUUUAGACCACAUAAUUCAUAUAAAUUAGAACAAAAGAAAAAUAAAUGUAACCUACAUGAUAAAAUUGAUAAAUGUAACCUACAUGAUAAAUGUAGUUCAAAAUCAGCAAAACAUAUAACACUUAUUUCAAGCUACCUAUAUUCCAUAAUAAAAUUGAAAAUUAUAUUCAAAAUAAAAUUAAUUUGCUCUCUUUAAUUGAAAGUAAUUCCAAAUAUUUUUUCUGAAAGCUUUACAAAUUAUCCAUUGUAAACAACAAAUUUAUGUAAUAUGAUAUACACAAUAAUGAUUUUUUUUUAAAGAGCUAAACAUAUUUUAAUAUAUAUAAAUUAAAAAAAUAUUGUAUAUAUUAUAUUAAUUUUAAACCCACGCGUUGCGUGGGAUAUUUUCUAGUAUAUAUAUAUAUAUAUUCCGUGACGCAAAGAAUCUCCAAUGAUAAUGUUAGAUGAGCAAACAAAAAAGUGCUAAUUUUAUCGAUCUAUAAACACAUUCGCAGCAAAUCAAAGACAUACUUGUCCAUUAAUGAUUGUCCAAGCAGUCCAGUCCAUAUGGUCAUCUAAUGACUCACAUGGUAGUUUCAUACUAAUACAUAAAUAUAUACAUGAACAAUAAACGCCAAUCCAAAGUACAUUAUCCAUGUUUCUUUGACCAUUUACCCACGUGUGUAUAGACAUGUUGAUACAAUUUUAUCGAGCUAUAAACACAUUCGCAGCAAAUCAAAGACAUACUUAUCCAUUAAUGAUUGUCCAAGAAGUCCAGUCCAUAUGAUCAUCUAACGACUCACAUGAUAGUUUCAUACUAAUACAUAAGUUUAUACAUGAACAAUAAACGCCAAUCCAAAGUAGAUUAUCCAUGUUUCUUUGACCAUUUAUCCACAUGUGUAUAGACAGUCAGUUACGUAGAUCUCAGUCAGUUAAGGAACUUGUCCAAAUCUGCCAACAUCUAUACAUAUU
This 1013-nucleotide small RNA is filed under the name Arabidopsis thaliana (thale cress). RNAcentral describes it as "ATSL047610". The record is from RNAcentral. Lineage: Eukaryota; Viridiplantae; Streptophyta; Magnoliopsida; Brassicales; Brassicaceae.